GCCCAUUCAUAUUAGACUCCUACUAAUGGGUAUGUUCCCCUGUGUCACGAUUUGCUCCACAGGAGGCCAUACGGAGUUCCUUACGACUGCACUGCACCUCUGCUGUUUGAAAGUUGCCUUGUCUGGGUUAGGAGGAGAACAGAUGGGCAGCAGUGAGUGCGAUGAACAGUGUGCCUUUCUCUGAGUUCUGCCUGCCGCACAGCCAUACGUAUUAGAUGACUUUG
RNAcentral lists this long non-coding RNA (224 nucleotides) under Cyanistes caeruleus (blue tit). Its description in RNAcentral is "lncRNA (ENSCCEG00000000041.1)". The record is from RNAcentral. Lineage: Eukaryota; Metazoa; Chordata; Aves; Passeriformes; Paridae.